UUUUGGUGAAAUUUUAUGAAAAUGAGUUUAAAUGGUAAAUUUUUGUGUUUUACAAACAGAAUGUGUUUACAUGAAAAGAUUUUAUAAAUUGUCUUGAAAUUGAAUAACGAUUUUGAAAAUAGAGUAAUUGGAGACCACCGGUAUGUUGUAAAUUUAUGAUUGGAAAUUGAUAGCUUAUGCUAUAUUGUUAUUGUGUUGGCAUGACUG
Molecule: long non-coding RNA, 207 nt
Filed under: Theobroma cacao (cacao)
Lineage: Eukaryota; Viridiplantae; Streptophyta; Magnoliopsida; Malvales; Malvaceae
Description: long non-coding RNA (TCAC_LNC000471)
Source: RNAcentral